Long non-coding RNA from Podarcis raffonei (Aeolian wall lizard), 721 nucleotides. RefSeq lists it as uncharacterized. The record is from RefSeq and is a predicted model, not a curated record. NCBI's taxonomy places the organism in Eukaryota, Metazoa, Chordata, Lepidosauria, Squamata, Lacertidae. The transcript is spliced from 3 exons.
GCCGUUCUCGUCGCGAGUCACCGCGCUGGGAUAAGUGUGUUGUCGCCGCCGCGGCGAACCAAUGCGGCGCUGCCACGUCGCUGUGUGCAAGCGACACAAAAAACAACGACGCUCAUAUAUACAGUAUAUAUAUAUAUAUAGAGAGAGAGAUUAUAGAAUUGGGAGGGACCCCCGAGGAUCAUCUAGUCCGACCCCAUUGCAAGGAAGGAAUAUGCAGUGGUCGAACCUGCAACCUUGGCAUUAGCAGCAGCUCGUGCAGUUGAUAAAAUGGACUCGAGGCCAAGGCGGCUUAUUGCGCUGUAACGCACUUGCCACGAGACCCUUCGUCGUCGUCAAGGAAGAGACCUCUGCGCAUGUGAAGAGCGCCUUGGCCUCAUCACAAGUAGCUGCAGGCAGCCCCCUAAAUACCUGCAAAGAGAUGUCACGGAGGCCGUAGCAUCCAAGGUAGCCCUAGGCUCUGUCUUUCCAGGGGAAAAAGCCACUUCUAUCUACGAAAGUUAUUGUCUCUGGUUCCUGGAGUGACUGUGGAAGAACAUGAAGGUAGGGGUCCAAGUACUUCUGGAUUACAUAAUGGACCUGGAGCAAGGAACCAGCUAUAUUUUGUAAUUUUAUAAGCUAUGUGACUUUGCUGCUCAGUAUAUCUUUUUUUUAACAUGAUCUGUGGCGUUUUAUGCAUUGUGACUUUGCUGUUAUUUUUAUUGAUUACAGUCCAGUAAUGAUU